CAGACGUGUUGUUGAGCUUUGGAUAAUCAGAACAGAGGUUUUACUGAGGAUGCAGGCAGGCCUGCCAGUAAGGAGUUGCAGUAGUCAAUGCGUGAUUUGACCAAAGCCUGGACC
Melanotaenia boesemani (Boeseman's rainbowfish) is the source of this 114-nucleotide long non-coding RNA. RefSeq lists it as uncharacterized. The record is from RefSeq and is a predicted model, not a curated record. The transcript is spliced from 3 exons. Lineage: Eukaryota; Metazoa; Chordata; Actinopteri; Atheriniformes; Melanotaeniidae.